Molecule: ribosomal RNA, 120 nt
Filed under: Bos grunniens (domestic yak)
Lineage: Eukaryota; Metazoa; Chordata; Mammalia; Artiodactyla; Bovidae
Source: RNAcentral
GUCUCAGGCCGUAUCAGCCUGAAGGCGCCCGAUCUCGUCCGAUCUCGGAAGCUAAGCAGGGUCGGGCCUGGUUAGGAUCUUGGAUGGGAGACCACCUGGGAAUCCCGGGUGCUCGAGGCU